AAAUGUUCAAUCGGAAUCUCCCUUCUUGCAACUUGAAGCCAUUGGUUCGAGUCCUACCCUCCAGAAAAAGAGAAAACAAGCAUGCUCUUUCUUCCUGGUGACAGCCCAUAAGAUAUUUGAAGAUGGCUUUCAUAUUUCCUCUUAGUCUCCUCUUCUCCAGGCUUCUUCUUCUUCUUCGAUCACUCGUAGCCGAGUAAGAUUGUCUUCCAUAAACACGGUUUUAACAAUGAGUCCGUAAGUGACAGUGGAGGCCAAUUCUGGAUCCACACA
This is a non-coding RNA of Podarcis lilfordi (Lilford's wall lizard), 270 nucleotides long. The record is from the annotation of a GenBank genome assembly. Lineage: Eukaryota; Metazoa; Chordata; Lepidosauria; Squamata; Lacertidae.